RNAcentral lists this ribosomal RNA (1752 nucleotides) under Salegentibacter salegens. RNAcentral describes it as "bacterial SSU rRNA". The stretch from base 318 to 1752 matches the Rfam family "Bacterial small subunit ribosomal RNA". The record is from RNAcentral. Lineage: Bacteria; Pseudomonadati; Bacteroidota; Flavobacteriia; Flavobacteriales; Flavobacteriaceae.
AAAAUAAAGUCAAAAAUUUUUCUAAAAAAUAUUUGGUGUAUAACUAAAAAGUAGUGUAUAUUUGCAGCCGCUUACAGACUGAGCGAGUUCCCAGAAAUAUUGAAAAGAAAUCCCGGGUGGGUGCGUAAAGCGAUAGGGUUCGAGUCCUUAGGUUUCGGCAAGAAUAUCCCGAAUAAAAUCGGGGAAGUUCAUUGAUUUAUUGAAUUGACAGCGCGUACAUUUUUCGAGAGAAGAAUGAUACAAAUAAUUUAGAAUUAAGACUAGAGAAGUCAUCUUUGAGUACAGACGUUUGAUUGUUGUAAUUAUAUUAAGAAACAACGAUGAAGAGUUUGAUCCUGGCUCAGGAUGAACGCUAGCGGCAGGCCUAACACAUGCAAGUCGAGGGGUAACAUUGGUGCUUGCACCAGAUGACGACCGGCGCACGGGUGCGUAACGCGUAUACAACCUACCUUUUAGCAGGGAAUAGCCCAGGGAAACUUGGAUUAAUGCCCUAUAGUAUGGUGAUCUCUCCUGAGAUUAUCAUUAAACAUUUAUGGCUAUUAGAUGGGUAUGCGUCCUAUUAGUUAGUUGGUAAGGUAACGGCUUACCAAGGCAGCGAUAGGUAGGGGUCCUGAGAGGGAGAUCCCCCACACUGGUACUGAGACACGGACCAGACUCCUACGGGAGGCAGCAGUGAGGAAUAUUGGACAAUGGGCGAGAGCCUGAUCCAGCCAUGCCGCGUGCAGGAAGACUGCCCUAUGGGUUGUAAACUGCUUUUACAGAGGAAGAACCACUCCCACGUGUGGGAGUUUGACGGUACUCUGCGAAUAAGGAUCGGCUAACUCCGUGCCAGCAGCCGCGGUAAUACGGAGGAUCCAAGCGUUAUCCGGAAUCAUUGGGUUUAAAGGGUCCGUAGGCGGGCAGUUAAGUCAGUGGUGAAAGUCUUCCGCUCAACGGGAGAACUGCCAUUGAUACUGAUUGCCUUGAGUUAUUAUGAAGUGGUUAGAAUGAGUAGUGUAGCGGUGAAAUGCAUAGAUAUUACUCAGAAUACCGAUUGCGAAGGCAGAUCACUAAUAAUAUACUGACGCUGAUGGACGAAAGCGUAGGUAGCGAACAGGAUUAGAUACCCUGGUAGUCUACGCCGUAAACGAUGGUUACUAGCUGUUCGGAUCGAUUAAGAUCUGAGUGGUUAAGCGAAAGUGAUAAGUAACCCACCUGGGGAGUACGUUCGCAAGAAUGAAACUCAAAGGAAUUGACGGGGGCCCGCACAAGCGGUGGAGCAUGUGGUUUAAUUCGAUGAUACGCGAGGAACCUUACCAGGGCUUAAAUGUAGUCUGACAGGAGUGGAAACACUUUUUUCUUCGGACAGAUUACAAGGUGCUGCAUGGUUGUCGUCAGCUCGUGCCGUGAGGUGUCAGGUUAAGUCCUAUAACGAGCGCAACCCCUGUGGUUAGUUGCCAGCGAGUAAUGUCGGGAACUCUAGCCAGACUGCCGGUGCAAACCGUGAGGAAGGUGGGGAUGACGUCAAAUCAUCACGGCCCUUACGUCCUGGGCCACACACGUGCUACAAUGGUAGGGACAGAGAGCAGCCACUUCGCGAGAAGGAGCGAAUCUACAAACCCUAUCACAGUUCGGAUCGCAGUCUGCAACUCGACUGCGUGAAGCUGGAAUCGCUAGUAAUCGCAUAUCAGCCAUGAUGCGGUGAAUACGUUCCCGGGCCUUGUACACACCGCCCGUCAAGCCAUGGAAGCUGGGGGUACCUGAAGUCGGUCA